This 456-nucleotide ribosomal RNA is filed under the name Lacunicambarus aff. thomai 31 MGG-2018. RNAcentral's name for it is "partial large subunit ribosomal RNA". It matches the Rfam family "Archaeal large subunit ribosomal RNA", at positions 2035 to 2699 of the family's 2987-position model. Lineage: Eukaryota; Metazoa; Arthropoda; Malacostraca; Decapoda; Cambaridae. The record is from RNAcentral.
AGCAUAAUCAUUAGUUUUUUAAUUGAAGGCUAGAAUGAAUGGUUGGACAAGAAAUAAUCUGUCUUAAUUAAAGAUAUUGAAUUUAACUUUUGAGUGAAAAGGCUUAAAUGAUCUGAAGGGACGAUAAGACCCUAUAAAACUUUAUAUUUAUGAGUAGAAAUAAGUUUUAUUUAAAGGUUACUAUUUUAUAAUAUUUGGUUGGGGCGACAGGGAUAAAAGAAAAAAUAACUGUCUUUUUUUUUAACAAUUAUAUUUGGUUUAAUGAUCCUAAAAUGGAUUAAAGAUUAAGUUACUUUAGGGAUAACAGCGUAAUUUUCUUUAAGAGUUCUUAUCGACAGGAAAGUUUGCGACCUCGAUGUUGAAUUAAAAGUUCUUUAUAGAGUAGAGACUAUAAUAGAAGGUCUGUUCGACCUUUAAAAUUUUACAUGAUUUGAGUUCAGACCGGUGUGAGCCAGG